This 253-nucleotide ribosomal RNA is filed under the name uncultured bacterium. RNAcentral's name for it is "partial 16S ribosomal RNA". It matches the Rfam family "Bacterial small subunit ribosomal RNA", at positions 524 to 776 of the family's 1533-position model. The record is from RNAcentral.
UACGUAGGGCGCAAGCGUUGUCCGGAAUUAUUGGGCGUAAAGAGCUCGUAGGCGGCCUGUUGCGUCCGCUGUGAAAUCCCGGGGCUUAACCCCGGGCGUGCAGUGGAUACGGGCUGGCUGGAGGCAGGCAGGGGAGAACGGAAUUCCUGGUGUAGCGGUGAAAUGCGCAGAUAUCAGGAGGAACACCGGUGGCGAAGGCGGUUCUCUGGGCCUGUUCUGACGCUGAGGAGCGAAAGCGUGGGGAGCGAACAGG